This 460-nucleotide ribosomal RNA is filed under the name uncultured bacterium. Its description in RNAcentral is "partial 16S ribosomal RNA". It matches the Rfam family "Bacterial small subunit ribosomal RNA", at positions 338 to 795 of the family's 1533-position model. The record is from RNAcentral.
CCUACGUGAGGCAGCAGUGAGGAAUAUUGGUCAAUGGCCGGAAGGCUGAACCAGCCAUGCCGCGUGAAGGUCAGUGCCCUAUGGGCGUUAAACUUCUUUUGUGCGGGAGCAAUAAUGGUCACGUGUGGCCAGACGAGAGUACCGUACGAAUAAGCAUCGGCUAACUCCGUGCCAGCAGCCGCGGUAAUACGGGGGAUGCAAGCGUUAUCCGGAUUUGGUGGGUUUAAAGGGGGCGUAGGCUGUGAGGUAAGUCAGCGGUGAAAUGCCGCUGCUCAACGGGGUGAAGGGCCAUUGAUACUGGCUUGCUGGAAUGCGUAUGCCGUGGGAGGAAUGUGUGGUGUAGCGGUGAAAUGCAUAGAUAUCACACAGAACACCGAUUGCGAAGGCAUCUGACGAAUCCGCGAUUGACGCUGAUGCACGAAAGCGUGGGUAUCAAACAGGAUUAGAUACCCGAGUAGUC